RNAcentral lists this ribosomal RNA (515 nucleotides) under uncultured bacterium. RNAcentral describes it as "partial 16S ribosomal RNA". It matches the Rfam family "Bacterial small subunit ribosomal RNA", at positions 28 to 523 of the family's 1533-position model. The record is from RNAcentral.
GAUGAACGCUGGCGGCGUGCCUAAUACAUGCAAGUCGGGCGAAUGGAUUAAGAGCUUGCUCUUAUGAAGUUAGCGGCGGACGGGUGAGUAACACGUGGGUAACCUGCCCAUAAGACUGGGAUAACUCCGGGAAACCGGGGCUAAUACCGGAUAACAUUUUGAACCGCAUGGUUCGAAAUUGAAAGGCGGCUUCGGCUGUCACUUAUGGAUGGACCCGCGUCGCAUUAGCUAGUUGGUGAGGUAACGGCUCACCAAGGCAACGAUGCGUAGCCGACCUGGGAGGGUGAUCGGCCACACUGGGACUGAGACACAGCCCAGACUCCUACGGGAGGCAGCAGUAGGGAAUCUUCCGCAAUGGACGAAAGUCUGACGGAGCAACGCCGCGUGAGUGAUGAAGGCUUUCGGGUCGUAAAACUCUGUUGUUAGGGAAGAACAAGUGCUAGUUGAAUAAGCUGGCACCUUGACGGUACCUAACCAGAAAGCCACGGCUAACUACGUGCCAGCAGCCGCAGUAA